RNAcentral lists this transfer RNA (69 nucleotides) under Aeschrocoris tuberculatus. Its description in RNAcentral is "tRNA-Ala". Lineage: Eukaryota; Metazoa; Arthropoda; Insecta; Hemiptera; Pentatomidae. The record is from RNAcentral.
GGGGUUGUAGUUAAAACUAACAUUUAAUUUGCAAUUAAAAAAUAUUAAUAUAUAUAUUAAUCUGCCUCA